CAACUUUCAGCAACGGAUCUCUUGGCUCUCGCAUCGAUGAAGAACGCAGCGAAAUGCGAUAAGUAAUGUGAAUUGCAGAAUUCAGUGAAUCAUCGAAUCUUUGAACGCACCUUGCGC
Molecule: ribosomal RNA, 117 nt
Filed under: uncultured Cortinarius
Lineage: Eukaryota; Fungi; Basidiomycota; Agaricomycetes; Agaricales; Cortinariaceae
Also listed under: 1 other name
Description: 5.8S ribosomal RNA
Rfam family: 5.8S ribosomal RNA
About the family: 5.8S ribosomal RNA (5.8S rRNA) is a component of the large subunit of the eukaryotic ribosome. It is transcribed by RNA polymerase I as part of the 45S precursor that also contains 18S and 28S rRNA.
Source: RNAcentral